UACGUAGGAAGCGAGCGUUGUCCGGAAUUAUUGGGCGUAAAGGGCUCGUAGGCGGUUUGUCGCGUCGGGAGUGAAAUCCACUGGCUUAACUGGUGGCUUGCUUUCGAUACGGGCAGACUGGAGGUAUGCAGGGGAGAACGGAAUUCCUGGUGUAGCGGUGAAAUGCGCAGAUAUCAGGAGGAACACCGGUGGCGAAGGCGGUUCUCUGGGCAUGUCCUGACGCUGAGGAGCGAAAGUGUGGGGAGCGAACAGG
RNAcentral lists this ribosomal RNA (253 nucleotides) under uncultured bacterium. Its description in RNAcentral is "partial 16S ribosomal RNA". It matches the Rfam family "Bacterial small subunit ribosomal RNA", at positions 524 to 776 of the family's 1533-position model. The record is from RNAcentral.